Molecule: transfer RNA, 56 nt
Filed under: Rattus norvegicus (Norway rat)
Lineage: Eukaryota; Metazoa; Chordata; Mammalia; Rodentia; Muridae
Rfam family: tRNA
About the family: Transfer RNA (tRNA) molecules are approximately 80 nucleotides in length. Their secondary structure includes four short double-helical elements and three loops (D, anti-codon, and T loops). Further hydrogen bonds mediate the characteristic L-shaped molecular structure. tRNAs have two regions of fundamental functional importance: the anti-codon, which is responsible for specific mRNA codon recognition, and the 3' end, to which the tRNAs corresponding amino acid is attached (by aminoacyl-tRNA synthetases). tRNAs cope with the degeneracy of the genetic code in two manners: having more than one tRNA (with a specific anti-codon) for a particular amino acid; and 'wobble' base-pairing, i.e. permitting non-standard base-pairing at the 3rd anti-codon position.
Source: Rfam by way of RNAcentral
GGCUCAGAGGUAGAGCAUUAGUAUAGUAAACCUAAGGACCUGGGUUCAAUUCCCAG